CAUGCACAGUGCAGGCUCUAUGCAGACAAGCAAAGUCAUCUGGUUUGAAGUGGCCUUCUUGAUCAGGAACCACCCCUUCCCUACAUCUCAUAACGUAAGGGGACAUUUUAACCCGCGUGUAAGAUGCUGGUUAACUCACGUUUGGGAAACCCAGUUUGCUGCUGUGUUCCCAGCUGCGCCUGGAACAGCCCCUCUCUUCAGGUGAUGACAGACAGUGUAGUUUGGUUUUAUGGCUCUAGUCUAAGAACUGCUUAAAUUGAUGCCUGCUUUCACCCCAGCACCGCCUUCCUUUUGAGCCCCUACUACGUGGGGACAAUUUGCAUAUUAAGAAAGAGGUAGUCCGGGCACAGCAGCUUACGCCUG
Molecule: long non-coding RNA, 363 nt
Filed under: Homo sapiens (human)
Lineage: Eukaryota; Metazoa; Chordata; Mammalia; Primates; Hominidae
Description: non-protein coding lnc-ZMYND8-4:1
Source: RNAcentral